AGUUCUGCCCGGUGGUGCUGAAGAAGCUUCUCGGAUGAGAGGUGAAACGUCUUAAAGCAACUCAAAGAAGUCCAGACGCUUUUUUUAUUUCUAAACAAUAUUGUCACAAACUUUUCUCCAGCUAACAUCCUGCCCUGACUUUUUAUGCUCACUUUUAUUACUCUGUGUUAAGCAAAGGGUAAAGGUCUUUGUAUGCUCCGAAUGGGAGGAGGCACUUUUGCUAAGAGGUUUGCUUGUACUUCCUGCUUCCUCUAAAGGCUUGUUUCCCGACUUCGCAGCCAAUAUUCAGACUGAUUUUUUUUCUCAAGAGGAUUUGUUUACGUUUUUCUUCUUCUCUGAGAGAUGCUCUUGAGAAGCAUCAGUGUUGUGCUGAUUGUCCUGUCAGUCCUGGAGCUCUGCAUCACCAUCAGCUCUUCCAUCCUGGGGAUCAAAUCUCUGAGGAGGAAGGACAAGGGAAAAAAUGAGAGCACUGAUGACUCAGAGUCGACCAAACCACUGCUGGAGGAAGUCACUGCACAGGCUGUAGCCUAAAUGUCUUUGUUCAGUUACCAGGAAUCAUGUUCCUGUGCCUUUAUGACCUACAACUAACUUGAUGUCUUGAUGAUUUAUACUAAUUAAGACUUUGUCUUCCUAAGUGCUUCUUGAAAGGAAGACAUUAUACCAAAUUGAAUCAAUUGAUAAUAUCGUUGUUGUGUUGAUUAAAAUUUAAGUUGAGAUAAGUGCCUUAAGUUUGUUGGUAAAAAUGUGUUUAUUCUUGAGAAAUAUGGGGUUAUUUUCUUUGCCAUUCUACAAUGUAUAGUGACAAUAUUAAAAAAGUUAGAAAAGAAUAUAAAUAAAAAAAAUACUGACAGUUAAAAGCAGAUAUUACACUUAUAUUGACAUAUUUUUGUAGGCUAUUUGUGAAAUGUCAGAAUAAAGAGAGAACUGUUAUGUAUUUUUUAUUGCUUUCAUUAAAGUCAGAAGUAUACAUAUACUUCCUUAGUAUUUGGUAGAAUUGCCCCGUUACUGUUUCACUUGGGCCAAAUGUUUCAGAUAUCCUUCCACCAGCUUUCUACAAUAGUUUGUGGGCAUCUUGGCCCAGUCCUCUUGACAGAACUGGUGUAACUGGGUCAGGCUUGCAGGUCUUCUUGCUCCUUUUAGUGCCUCACCUUUUAGUGCCACCCACAUGUUUUCUAUGAGAUUGAGAUCAGGCCUUUGUGAAAGCCACUCCAAUACCUUGACUUUGUUGUAUUUUAAGCCACUUUGUAAAUAAUUUGGAGGAAUGCUUGGGUCAUUGUCCAUUUGGAAGACCCAUUUGUGCCCAAGCUUCAACUUCCUGGCUGAUGCCUUCAGAUGCUGCUUCAAUAUGUCCACCUAAUUUUCUUUUCUCAUGAUGUUAUCUAUUUUGUGAAGUGCAUCAGUCCCUCCUGCAGUAAAAAGCCCCACAACAUGAUGCUGCCACCCCCAUACUUCACAGUUGGGAUGGUGUUCUGAGGCUUCAAAGCUUCCACCUUUUUCCUCCAAAUAUACAGUUUAUCAUUAUGGCCCAACAGUUCAGUUGUUUCGUCAGACCACACAACAUGUGUCCAGAAAUAGAGAUUUUUGUCCCCAUGUGCAGUUGUAAACUGUAGUCCAUCUUUUUUUUAUUGUGGUUUUGAAGUAAUGGCUUUCUCCUCUAGAGUACCCUGUCAGCUCAUGGUGCU
Long non-coding RNA from Oreochromis aureus, 1682 nucleotides. RefSeq lists it as uncharacterized. The record is from RefSeq and is a predicted model, not a curated record. Lineage: Eukaryota; Metazoa; Chordata; Actinopteri; Cichliformes; Cichlidae. The transcript is spliced from 3 exons.